GACGAACGCUGGCGGCGUGCUUAACACAUGCAAGUCGAACGAAGUGGCGAACGGGUGAGUAACGCGUAAACAACCUGCCCUUCAGCGGGGGACAACAGUUGGAAACGACUGCAAAUACCGCAUACUGAAGGAGGGGAGUGCGUCUGAUUAGCUAGUUGGAGGGGUAACGGCCCACCAAGGCGAUGAUCAGUAGCCGGUCUGAGAGGAUGAACGGCCACAUUGGGACUGAGACACGGCCCAGAAUCCUACGGGAGGCAGCAGUGGGGAAUCUUCCGCAAUGGACGAAAGUCUGGAGGAGCAACGCCGCGUGAGUGAUGACGGGUUUCGGGUUGUAAAGCUCUGUUAAUCGGGACGCGGUACCGGAAUAGAAAGCCACGGCUAACUACGUGCCAGCAGCCGCGGUAAUUC
Molecule: ribosomal RNA, 408 nt
Filed under: uncultured bacterium
Lineage: Bacteria
Description: partial 16S ribosomal RNA
Rfam family: Bacterial small subunit ribosomal RNA
Source: RNAcentral